Molecule: small RNA, 99 nt
Filed under: Erwinia billingiae
Lineage: Bacteria; Pseudomonadati; Pseudomonadota; Gammaproteobacteria; Enterobacterales; Erwiniaceae
Source: RNAcentral
AGGCGACAUAGCCUGCAUAAAUGCCAACUUUUAGCGCACGGCUCCCACAAGGAGCCAUUUCCCUGGACCGAAGAUAGGAAUCGUCUUCGGUCUUUUUUU